GCCGGGUGUGGUGGUGCACACCUGUGGUCCCAGCUACUCGGAAAGCUGAGGCAGGAGCAUUGCUUGAGCUCGGGAGUUCUGGGCUGUAGUGAGCUAUGCUGAUCUGGCGUCUACAUUAAUACGAUGAACUCCCUGGACUGGGAGGACCACCAGGUUGCCUAAGGAGGGCUGAACCCACCAAAGUCAGAGACGGAGCUGGUCAAAGCUUUCAUGCUGAUCUGUCCUGGGGUCACACCUGUGAAUAGCCACUGCACCCCAGUCUGGGCAACAGAGCAAGACUCCGUCCG
Molecule: unclassified non-coding RNA, 287 nt
Organism: Pongo abelii (Sumatran orangutan)
Lineage: Eukaryota; Metazoa; Chordata; Mammalia; Primates; Hominidae
Rfam family: Metazoan signal recognition particle RNA
About the family: The signal recognition particle (SRP) is a universally conserved ribonucleoprotein. It is involved in the co-translational targeting of proteins to membranes.
Source: Ensembl